RNAcentral lists this ribosomal RNA (1989 nucleotides) under Triticum aestivum (bread wheat). RNAcentral describes it as "partial small subunit ribosomal RNA". The record is from RNAcentral. Lineage: Eukaryota; Viridiplantae; Streptophyta; Magnoliopsida; Poales; Poaceae.
AUGGCAGCGUACUACCACGGCGGCGCCGGCACGGACAUCCACCAGGCCGCCAGCGACGGCCUGCAAACACUGUACCUCAUGAACCCGAGCUACGGCACCGGCGGCUACGGGGACGCCGCGCCCUCCGGGGCCAACAUGAUGCUCCUCAACUCGGCGGUGAGCUCCAUGACCCCGGCGUCCUUCGGCGGCCACCAGGCGUCGCCACCGCCGGGGCAGCACUUCGUCGGCAUCCCUCUUCAGGUCCCCCCCUCGGGCUACAACCUGUGGACCCCGGCCACAACCGGCAUCGCCGACGUCAUGUCGCCACCGACGCAGCAGGCUCAUGGCGUGAGUGCCGUGCUCAGCCUGUCGUCUCGCGAGACGCCGCCGGUCACGGUGGCUUCCAUCGCCGGCGACGAAGGGAGGUACCACCUUGGGUCGACGACCGCGGCGUCGCAGGGGCAGGUGGUGAUGAACUCCAAGUACCUCAGGGCGGCGCAGGAGCUGCUCGACGAGGUGGUGAGCGUGAGCAAGGGCGUGGACGACGUGGACCCCAAGGCGAAGAGCGCUGUGUCGGUCAAGAAGAAGGAGGAUUCGGAAGGCCUUUCCGGCGGCGGCGGGGAGGAAGGCGCCAGCGGGGCCAAGGGCGGCGCGCCAGCGCCCGAGAUGUCGACGGCGGAGCGGCAGGAGCUGCAGAUGAAGAAAGGCAAACUGGUUAACAUGCUUGACGAGGUGGAGCAGCGGUACCGGCAGUACCACCAGCAGAUGGCGUCGGUGUCGUCGUCGUUCGAGGCGGUGGCCGGUGCCGGGUCGGCGCGGACGUACACGGCGCUGGCGCUGCGCACCAUCUCGCGGCAGUUCCGCUGCCUCCGCGACGCCAUCGCCUCCCAGGUGCGCGCCGCCAGCCGCGCCCUGGGCGAGGACUGCGACGCCGAGGGGCUCGGUGGCGGGCUCGGCGGAGGGCCCGGCGUCGGGUCCCGGCUCCGGUACAUCGACCACCAGCUCCGGCAGCAGCGCGCGCUGCAGCAGCUGGGCAUGAUGCAGAGCAGCGCGUGGCGCCCCCAGCGGGGCCUCCCCGAGCGCUCCGUCUCCAUCCUCCGUGCAUGGCUCUUCGAGCACUUCCUCCAUCCAUACCCCAAGGAUUCGGACAAGAUCAUGCUCGCCAAGCAGACCGGCCUCACCAGGAGCCAGGUGUCGAACUGGUUCAUCAACGCGAGGGUGAGGCUGUGGAAGCCGAUGGUGGAGGAGAUGUACCUCGAGGAGACCAAGGAGCAUCAGCAGCAGCAGGACGGCGGCGACGACAAGGGGAGGCCGUCUGGGUCCGGCCCCGCCGGAGGAAAGAGCAGCAGCAACGCGGACGGCGUGGACGACGGCACUCCGAGGUCCAUGGCCAGAGCGGCGGCGGGAGCCGGGACGUCGGAGGGCGGCGGCGCCGUCCAGGCGUCCUUGCUCGAGCUCGCCGGAGAGCACCAGGCGCACGCGGGGUUCUACGACGAGGAGGGUGAGGAUGGCGGGUUAAGGCGCGGCUUCAAGAAGGCGAGGGCGGCCGACCUCGAGCAGCAACCGCCGGCGGCGUUCGACUUCGGCGCGUUGCACCACGCGCAGGCAGCCGCGGCCGCCGCAGCGAGGCAGCAGCACGACGAGGUGAGCCACCGGGAGCUGCUCAUGAAGUUCAUGGAGAGCGGCGGCGCGGCAGGCGCGAGGGACCACCACCACCAACACCAACACGACGAGGACGGGGCCGGCGGCGGGUACUCUCUGUUCGCGCCGGGGCCGUACGGGCAGUUCGGCACCGACCAGUCGUUCGCGUUCCCCGGGGCCGGGCAGCACGGCGGCGUCUCGCUCACGCUCGGCCUCCCCCACGGGGCCGGCGAUCAGACGGCGUUCCUCAUGGGCGGCGGCAGCAGCAACGGCGCCGACAGCGGCGGCAGCGGCGCUGCCGGCUACGACAUGAACAUGCAGACCACCAAGUCCUUCGCGGCUCAGCUCAUGAGAGACUUCGUGGCAUAG